This 713-nucleotide long non-coding RNA is filed under the name Equus asinus (donkey). Its description in RNAcentral is "lncRNA (ENSEASG00005029846.1)". The record is from RNAcentral. Lineage: Eukaryota; Metazoa; Chordata; Mammalia; Perissodactyla; Equidae.
GUGAGAGGCAGUAAUAAAGCAGCUGACAAUACAUGGAAAACAUAUUGAACAGUCAACACCUUCUAUUCACCCAUAGAAUGAUUCCUGGGCGGGAUUAGCAGAGAAGAGACAAGAAGGAGUGCAUAUAUCAUUCACUGGGGGACAGUAACGUGCCUUAUGGAGAUACAGUGAAUUGCCUGUUUCAUGGCACUAAUCUGAAAGCAUCCUUGAAUUCAAUUCAACAGCGUGACUGCCAGACAGCUCUUGAAACCAACAUUAUUCACCAUAGCCAAGAUGUGGAAGCAACCCAAAUGGCCGUCAAUUGAUGAUUGGAUAUAGAAGAUGUGUGGUGAAAACAGAACUUAGUACCAGACCACAUCAGGUUCCAGGGCUGACUGUGCAUCGACGUCUGGCUUGGACAGGUCUAAUGAGCUGGGGUCUCAUACUAUGAGUUCUAGAGAGCCGGAAAGGCAAGUAUAAUCGAGGCCAAAAUAUUGACCAGGUAAGCAAACUGGAAGCGGGAGAGCAGAAGCUCAUCUCCCAUCAGGAGGAAAAGGCACGUCUCCACACAUCACUUUCUUUCUACCUAGUGUUAACCCUGCAAUUCAGGAACAGCUCUUCUGACGUUACAGACAAAUAUGAAGGAUUUCCUGGGAGAAAACGGAAACAUCUUUUAAACCUGGUUGUUUUUUAUUAUUUUGACCAUUGAGUAGCUAUGUAAUCUUCAGCUAAAC